Molecule: ribosomal RNA, 253 nt
Filed under: uncultured bacterium
Lineage: Bacteria
Description: partial 16S ribosomal RNA
Rfam family: Bacterial small subunit ribosomal RNA
Source: RNAcentral
UACGUAGGGGGCAAGCGUUGUCCGGAAUCAUUGGGCGUAAAGAGCGUGUAGGCGGUCGGGUCAGUCGGGUGUGAAAGUCAAGGGCUCAACCCUUGAAUGCCGGCCGAUACUGCCGGGCUAGAGGCCGGAAGAGGUGAGUGGAAUUCCUGGUGUAGCGGUGAAAUGCGCAGAUAUCAGGAGGAACACCGAUGGCGAAGGCAGCUCACUGGGACGGUACUGACGCUGAGACGCGAAAGCGUGGGGAGCGAACAGG